RNAcentral lists this long non-coding RNA (382 nucleotides) under Trifolium pratense (red clover). RNAcentral describes it as "long non-coding RNA (TPRA_LNC003663)". The record is from RNAcentral. Lineage: Eukaryota; Viridiplantae; Streptophyta; Magnoliopsida; Fabales; Fabaceae.
AAUAAUAUAAGGGAUCAUUUGAGAAAAAUGUUUUAGUGAGCAAAGAUUGAAGAGCAAAAGAUUAGGUCAAUAUCAAGUUCAUGAACAUGGUACAUUACUUUCACUCUAUUCUUCAUUUUAAUUUGUUGAUUACUUUGCUCUUCAUAUUUUUAAUUUACUAAUUCACUUUGUUUUUUUUACAGCGCACAAAAUCAAUCUAAUAUAAGGGAGCAUUUGAGAAAAAUAUUUUAGUGAGCAAAGAUUAAAGAGCAAAAGAAUAAGUCAAUAUCAAAUUCAUGAAUAUGGUGUACGCCGGAUGAAAAAGAGAAAAAUGUCAUAGAAUAAGGCCAAUGUCAUGUCUAUGAAAGCUAGCCUGCACUUCAUUCUUUGAACGAGUGAGCAG